Molecule: unclassified non-coding RNA, 298 nt
Filed under: fungal sp.
Lineage: Eukaryota; Fungi
Description: partial internal transcribed spacer region
Rfam family: Eukaryotic small subunit ribosomal RNA (bases 1-45)
Source: RNAcentral
AGUCGUAACAAGGUUUCCGUAGGUGAACCUGCGGAAGGAUCAUUAACACAAACUGCGGCUGCGCAUGUGCACGUCGCCCCUUCACCGGGGACCCACGAUUGCUGCUGGCGCUCCGCAUUUGGAUCCACAUCCAUUUACCCCUGUGAACUGUUAAAGUCUUUACAUAGUGAAAUCAACACCAUGUGAUGUACUUCGACUGAACACUAGAAGCUGAAGAGCCGCGCGCGCAAGUGCACAGCCUUUCUUCUUCGAAAAACUAAACCAAAGACAACUUUUAACAACGGAUAUCUUGGUUCUC